CGUUUUUUUCCCUCUAUGUUUCUUUUUGUUUUUAAUUUAUUUGACAAAAUCAAUCUCCUCCAUUUGUAAAAGUGAUGUCCAUCUCCUCCAUUUGUAAAAGAACAACGGCAAAAUCAAAGAUGCAGAAGGGAAACACAUGGAACAACAUCAACUCAUCUUCUCAAGUUAUCAGUUAUCUUCCUUUCACCAUUUUUUUUUUCUUUCUAUGUUAUAUUUCUCCUACCCGCGACCUUUUCUUCUAGAUCUCCAUCACCAUAGACAACCUUCAAAAAAAUCACCAUCAUAUAAAGACUCAUUGAUAUUCACUACAAAUCUCACAAAGUAAAAAUCCAGAUCGGACUAAUUUUACCGGUGACCACCGCGCCGGAAAUUGCAUCCACCGUGUGGGAAAAUGAAAUCCUUCUAUUUUGUAAAUAUCGGUUGGUAUUUGUCAUUAGAUUUUUUUUUUUUGUAAAUAUUACUUUUGUCUUCUUUCCUUCUCUCAUGCAUACAACAACAAUAAUAAAGUUUAGAUUUAGAAACUUAACUUUUCUUGUGGUAGCUGUUAAUUUUUUAGAUUUGUUCUGUUUGUGUUUUUUUAGAUCUAUUUGAAUUUUCAAUUUGUAUAUGAAGAGCACUAUAUGGUUUGUUUGGAUCUGAUUGUAUUUUUCUAUUUUUUCAUAUGAAGUUGUUGCAAAAUUUAAUGAAAGUGAAAAACAAAAGGACAAGAAACUUUGAUUGAUUUUUUUGGAUUUGAUUGUAUUUUUUGUUUUAUCUUUUAAAAAUAUAUAGUUUCAUAUUUUUUAUUUUCUCCAUUUUUCUUUGAUUUCGUCAAGAAAUUUAUUUUUAAAUUAUGAUCUUCUUUAUUCAUCU
RNAcentral lists this long non-coding RNA (852 nucleotides) under Trifolium pratense (red clover). Its description in RNAcentral is "long non-coding RNA (TPRA_LNC008609)". Lineage: Eukaryota; Viridiplantae; Streptophyta; Magnoliopsida; Fabales; Fabaceae. The record is from RNAcentral.